Molecule: ribosomal RNA, 253 nt
Filed under: uncultured bacterium
Lineage: Bacteria
Description: partial 16S ribosomal RNA
Rfam family: Bacterial small subunit ribosomal RNA
Source: RNAcentral
GACAGAGGGGGCGAGCGUUGUCCGGAGUCACUGGGCGUAAAGCGCGCGCAGGCGGUCGCCUAAGUGUCGUGUGAAAGCCCCCGGCUCAACCGGGGGAGGCCAUGGCAAACUCGGCGGCGGGAGCGGCGGAGAGGCCCCUCGAAUUGCCGGUGUAGCGGUGAAAUGCGUAGAGAUCGGCAGGAAGACCAAGGGGGAAGCCAGGGGGCUGGCCGCUUGCUGACGCUGAGGCGCGACAGCGUGGGGAGCAAACCGG